AACCUUCCUCCCCCAACUCUUUCAAUAUUAUUGAAUGGUCUGAGACAUCCAACCUGCACUAUGCUUGAACAUAACAAGGUCCAGCUGCCAUAGACUAUCACAAUUCAGAGGUUGGUGUAUCUCAAAAUGUGGAGUUUGGGCCUUCAACUAAGUGAGAGCCGGUGCAAAUUAAACUGCAGAUGUGUAUUGCCUGGAAAAACGAAAUAACUCCGAGUUUGGUCUGACGCAACAGCUCUGCAAAUCUGAGCAGCUCACUUAAUUAUAUAUUUUCAGCUCAAGGGGAUAACUGGUGGUGGGAAGUUCAGACCCCCAAAUGAAUGUGCUGGAGCACAGAAAGUCUCCUGCAGACUUCUCAGCAGGUUCUUGGCCGGCGGCCUUUAAUCCACGCCGGGGUGCAGCGCACCCAAGUAUCCAGAUCUGAUUGGGGUUCUGGUGAUUUCAGAUUUCCACGUUCUGUUCAGCCAGAGAGAAAAUACUGCACAUACUGUGCCGUUUUCGGCUCGGUCGGACUGGGGGAAAUCCUCUACAGCGAAUGUUUUACAUUAGAGGCACUGGAAGAAUCCACAUUUGAUCAAUAGAGCGGGGCAGCCAGCCAAACAAUGUCAUUAACCACUUAUUAAUUCUGGCAGCCGUCGCAGAGCCACAUUGUGAUCGGAGUGGUUUCUAGAGGAGUGUUUACCAAAACAAGACGCACAGCUCUGCUUCAGCGGUUUCACAAAGCUAUGCAGUGACGUAGGAGAGCUGGAUAUAAUACUGAAUUUAUGUAGAAAUGUAAGGUCAUGGCAGCUUUGUAAGUUUACUUUCUCACCAGAAUGUGUUGUGCUGUGGCCUGAGUCCCAAAGAAAAUUAAAGCCUGGUCUUGCACUUAUUCUGUUUUUUUUUAUUUUUUAUACGAGCGCUUGUGAAAAGCUGUUAAACUGAAAGAGGCCUGUUUUAUUCCAGCUGCGGUGAUAGGACUCUUUUAAACUCACGUAAACUUAAAGGCACCGUGUGGACCUAACAUCACCACCGGAUCAAAUGUCACCCAUUCGAUCCCGUUCUUCCUCUUCUUCAGAUAUCGGAUUCUUCUCGCUCCAAAUAUGAGACAUGUGUCAAAAUGUUCCUUUCCUAAUUGAGUCCUAAUCGCAUUUGCUGAGCACACAGACGUCUGGGGGGUCUGCGGAGCUUUUCUCCUGGGAGGCUCUGGUGUUUGUACUGUCCUCUUUCAGAAAGAAUCCGUCUCACAAACUGUCUAAACGUGAGCCUCAAGUCUGCAGCGGGACCACAUUUCUCAUCCACAGUUUUCAUUUGGCCGACAACAGCAAAAUUAUGAAUCAAUGUGUUUCUCCUAAGGUGAAAUACUUUGAAGUUGAAAUGAUUAUCUAGGAAUAACUCUAAAGAUAUUAAAGAUGCUUCCAAACCUGUUUUUCAACAGACCUCCUUCACGUCUGGAGGAGCAGACUUAAGGAUGACAGAGCCUACUCCUCCUCCUCUGGUGGACGACAGCCAAAAGAGCUUCACUCCCUGCUCUCUGUCCACCACACCACCUUCAGGAUGUCCAUUCAAACAUGGGAGAAAAUGUGCUUCAGUUGGAAAUCUAAGAAUGCAACUUUUAUUUGUAUAAAUUAUACCACAGGAAGAAUACUCAAUUCUGAUUGGCUGCAGGGUGUGCGUUAAAAAUACAGGCCGUAAUUCAGUUUCAUUUUUGUUCUUUUGAAUUGUCUUUCUGUCUCUGUUUUCUUUUGUUUUUCUUCUGGAUUCUUUGAUUGCAGAUUACUCCCUAAUUGUCCAGAGCAGCUGAUUGGACGAGGACCUCUUUGGCCAACCUUUAAAAACUGAGCUACUCCAAGCCGGCAGCAAGAGAGCUUCAUUUAUUCUUUAUCCAUACAGGCUUUGGUCCAUUUGGUGUAUUUUUGGUUAUUUUUGUGUAAAUAAUUUUCUUUUUUCUGUACAUAAAUCCCAGCUUACUUUUACUCGUGGUCUUUGAGAGUUUUAGAUAGUUGUUGGGGUAUUUGAUUCGUUUUUCUUACUUUCAUGUGUAAAUCUUUUUUUUUCAUAGACGAGGACAUAAUGCAAAUUGGGGGCUUGUCCGGGAUUGGAAAACAGGAUUUUUCACAGGGGUGUAACAGCACAGUGAUAAUGGACACCUAAAAAAGACUGAAAGUUCAUCAACCUUCUUCCACAGUUUAUCACAACAACAAGACAGUAGAAAAAGACAUGAGUAGUAUUUUUGGUUUAAAAACUGUGAUGGAGCCGAAGAGAAACAGAAUGUAAAAAGGCAGAUGAGACAUUUGACUCUUUGCUUUUUUUGAUGGUCAUUUGCGUUGAGUGUGAGCGCGAGUGAGUGCACACUCAAUAACUGAAUCGAAUCGUGGCUUGACUGAAUCGUUACAUCCCUGAUAAAAACUAAUAUUAUUAAAUAUAACAAAUUACAGACUUUUGUUAAUUGAUCCAACAUCUCACUUUUUACAGUCUGAGCCGGCUAAUGCCCUUAGAGGUGUGCAUUAUCAGAAAUGAAUGGAUGCCUUGUCAGUUAUUAUUCCUUACAUAUAUGUUUAAGAAUGUGUCGUGUCGUUCAUUUUUGAGACGUUCUCAUGAAUUUCCAAAUCAAGAUAUUGAACGUCAAUCACUUAUUUGAUAUCAAGGCCAAAACAAAUUUUCUCAGAGUGAAACAUGACCUUCAAAACUAAAAAAAAAAA
Oryzias melastigma (Indian medaka) is the source of this 2678-nucleotide long non-coding RNA. RefSeq lists it as uncharacterized. NCBI's taxonomy places the organism in Eukaryota, Metazoa, Chordata, Actinopteri, Beloniformes, Adrianichthyidae. The record is from RefSeq and is a predicted model, not a curated record. The transcript has 2 exons.